RNAcentral lists this transfer RNA (72 nucleotides) under Aspergillus terreus. RNAcentral's name for it is "tRNA-Ala". It matches the Rfam family "tRNA". From Rfam's summary of the family: Transfer RNA (tRNA) molecules are approximately 80 nucleotides in length. Their secondary structure includes four short double-helical elements and three loops (D, anti-codon, and T loops). Further hydrogen bonds mediate the characteristic L-shaped molecular structure. tRNAs have two regions of fundamental functional importance: the anti-codon, which is responsible for specific mRNA codon recognition, and the 3' end, to which the tRNAs corresponding amino acid is attached (by aminoacyl-tRNA synthetases). tRNAs cope with the degeneracy of the genetic code in two manners: having more than one tRNA (with a specific anti-codon) for a particular amino acid; and 'wobble' base-pairing, i.e. permitting non-standard base-pairing at the 3rd anti-codon position. RNAcentral also lists the same sequence under 1 other name. The record is from RNAcentral. Lineage: Eukaryota; Fungi; Ascomycota; Eurotiomycetes; Eurotiales; Aspergillaceae.
GGGGUUGUGGUUUAGUGGUAUAACGUUCGCUUAGCAUGCGAAAGGUCCGGGGUUCGAUUCCCCGCAACUCCA